CAUCAGGAAUUUGUAACGUGCCAUAUUAUUACCGAUGGGUAUAUCUGGAGAACCAAAUGUCACCACGGAACAGGGCAAUUUCAAGUUUUUGAAAAUGCCAGCGGUUUAUGCAGCCGCACCUUUCAUCGAAGAUUUCUUGUCGCUGCGUUUUGCCAUUGAAGCUUCAUCCUAGGACUGGAUUGGCCGCUAAUGGUCCCAGCUGUGCGAUUUCGUUAGCUCGCAGAGACCGCAGUUGUCGUAUCCAUUGAAGGAGCCUACGUACAGUAGCCUAAAGGAAAAAAACGGCGUGAUGAUGUGCGAGGUGAUGCCCACCAUCAGCGAGGACACGGCUCAGCGGGGCUCUCAGAGCAGUGCCUCGGACCCAGACUCCCACUUUGAGCAGCUGAUGGUCAACAUGCUGGAUGAGAGGGACCGCCUGUUGGACACGCUGAGGGAGACCCAGGAGAGCCUGGGGAUGUCCCAGCAGCACCUGGAGGACGUUAUCUACGACCGGGACUCACUGCAGCGCCAGCUCAGCUCCGCCCUGCCACAGGAGUUUGCAGCUCUGACCAAGGAGCUGAAUGUGUGCAGAGAGAACCUUCUGGAGAAGGAGGAGGAGAUUUCUGAGCUCAAGGCCGAGAGGAACAACACCAGGUUGCUUCUGGAGCAUCUGGAGUGCCUGGUGUCCAGGCAUGAGCGGUCACUACGUAUGACUGUGGUCAAGCGGCAGGCCCAGUCCCCCUCAGGCGUGUCCAGUGAGGUGGAGGUCCUCAAAGCGCUCAAGUCCCUGUUCGAGCACCACAAAGCUCUAGACGAGAAGGUGAGGGAGAGACUGCGGGUGUCGCUAGAGAGGGUCUCUGCAUUGGAGGAGGAGCUAACAUCAGCCAACCAGGAGAUUGUGGCCUUACGGGAGCAGAAUGCCCACAUCCAGAGGAAGGUGGCGUCAGGGGACGGGUCAGAGGACAUGCUGGAGGGCACUGAUGCCAGCCAGAAGGUACAUAGCAAGCGCCUGUCCAACGGCUCCAUGGAGUCGGCCCAUGAGGCGGGCCAGGUGGUGGAGCUGCAGGACCUGCUGGAGAAGCAGAACUAUGAGCUGGCGCAGAUGAAGGAGCGCAUGUCUUCCCUGUCGUCCCGCGUCUCCGAGGUGGAGCAGGAGCUGGACACCGCGCGCAAGGACCUCAUCAAGACAGAGGAGAUGAGUACCAAGUACCAGAGGGACAUCAAAGAGGUGAGGAGAGAGGCUAUGUGUCAGAAGGAGGACAUGGAAGAGAGGAUCGUCACUCUGGAGAAGCGGUACCUCAGCGCCCAGAGAGAGUCCACCUCCCUGCAUGACAUCAGUGACAAACUGGAGAAUGAGCUGGCCAAUAAGGAAGCCUUCCUCAGACAGAUGGAGGAUAAGAACAGGCAGCUGCUGGAGCGUUUGGAGAUAGCAGAGCAGAAGCUGCAGCAGACCAUGAGAAAGGCUGAGACCCUGCCAGAGGUGGAGGCUGAACUGGCCCAGAGGAUAGCAGCACUCACCAAGGCGGAGGAGCGCCACGGCAGCAUCGAGGAACGCAUGAGGCACCUGGAGGGCCAGCUGGAGGAGAAGCACCAGGAGCUGCUCAGAGCUCGGCAGAGAGAAAAGAUGAACGAGGAACACAACAAGCGCCUGUCGGACACGGUGGACAGACUUCUCACAGAGUCCAACGAACGUCUUCAGCUCCACCUGAAAGAGAGGAUGGCUGCUCUGGAAGAGAAGAACGUUUUAAUACAAGACUCGGAAGGCUACAGAAAACAGUACGAGGAUUCAAUCCAUGAAAAAACUCAUCUGGCAGAUGAGAUAGACAAGCUGAGAUCAGAGUUGGACCAGUUCCGACUGAGAACAGGCUCACUCACAGAACCCACUCUGUCACGGUAUGGGUCUCACCUGGACACGUCGGGGGAGCUCCGCUUCUCCCUGGGCUCCCUGGCUGAGACCCAGUCAGACCACUACCGGUCAGCCAAGGUCAUCCGCAGGCCCAGGAGAGGACGCAUGGGUCUCCACAGGGACGAGAGCAAGGCUAAGUCACUGGGGGAGCACGAGUGGCGCUCUCAGCAGCUAGGCAUCCUGGGUAGCCACCCGUUUGAGAGUGAGAUGUCUGACAUGUCGGACAUUGAUGACGAUGACCGGGAAACCAUGUUCAGCUCCAUGGACCUGCUGUCCCCCGGCGGUCACUCAGACGCCCAGACCCUAGCCAUGAUGCUGCAGGAGCAGCUGGACGCCAUUAACAAAGAGAUACGACUGAUCCAGGAGGAGAAGGAGUCGACAGAGCUGCGGGCGGAGGAGAUAGAGAACCGUGUGGCCAGCGUCAGCCUGGAGGGUCUCAACCUCGCCCGUAUGCACCACCCCGGAGCCUCCAUCACCGCCUCGGCCACCGCCUCCUCCCUGGCCUCUUCCUCCCCUCCCAGCGGACACUCCACCCCCAAGUUGGACCACCGCAGCACCGCAGACAUGGAGCGCAUGGGUAUCAUGACACUGCCCAGUGAUCUGAGGAAACACAGGAGAAAGAUUGCGGCCACCGACGAUGACGGCCAGGACAAGGCUACCAUCAAGUGUGAGACGUCCCCUCCUCCCACGCCUCGGACCGUACGCAUGACCCGCACACUGCCAGCCUCCUCACACAACGAGGCCCGAGGCAUUGCUGCCAGCCUGGAGGCAGAGGCCAGUGGUCUGAGCAGCGUAGCCAGCAGUCAGGACUCCAUCAACAAGCAGCCCAAGAAGAAAGGCAUCAAGUCCUCCAUCGGACGCCUGUUUGGCAAGAAGGAGAAGACCAGACUGGCACAGCUGCAUGCCCACAGGGAGGCCAUCGGGCAGAGCCAAGGAGUGUCUGAUCCAGACCUGGGUCAGGACAUGGCUGUGGGGAAGCUGGGGACUCAGGCUGAGAAAGACCGCCGGCUGAAAAAGAAAAGCGGGCACGAGUUGUUGGAAGAGGCGAGGAGGAAAGGCUUACCUUUCGCCCAAUGGGACGGCCCCACAGUGGUGGCCUGGCUGGAGCUGUGGCUGGGGAUGCCCGCCUGGUACGUGGCGGCGUGUCGUGCCAACGUGAAGAGCGGUGCCAUCAUGUCGGCCCUGUCGGACACAGAGAUCCAGAGGGAGAUUGGCAUCAGUAACCCCCUGCACCGCCUCAAACUACGGCUGGCCAUCCAGGAGAUGGUGUCCCUCACCAGUCCAUCUGCCCCGCCAACCUCCAGAACCCCGUCAGGCAAUGUAUGGGUGACCCACGAGGAAAUGGAGACCCUCGCAGCACCCUCCUCCAAAACGAGGUCCGGGGAGUCCGAGGAGGGGAGCUGGGCGCAGACUCUAGCGUAUGGUGACAUGAACCAUGAGUGGAUAGGGAACGAGUGGUUGCCCAGUCUAGGACUACCUCAGUACCGCAGCUACUUCAUGGAGUGCCUGGUGGACGCCCGCAUGCUGGACCACCUCACCAAGAAGGACCUCCGGGUGCAUCUCAAAAUGGUGGACAGCUUUCACAGGACGAGUUUGCAGUAUGGUAUCAUGGGUCUGAAGAAGCUCAACUAUGACAGGAAAGAGCUGGAGAGACGCAGAGAGCACAGCCAGCAUGAAAUGAGAGACGUGCUGGUGUGGAGCAACGAGCGGGUGAUUCGCUGGGUCCAGAGCAUCGGCCUAAAAGACUAUGCCAACAUCCUGCUGGAGAGCGGCGUGCACGGGGCCCUGGUCGCCCUCGACGACAACUUUGACCACACCAGCUUGGCGCUGCUCAUCCAGAUCCCCAACCAAAGCACUCAGGCACGUCAGAUUCUGGAGAGGGAAUAUAAUAACCUGCUAGCCCUGGGCACUGAGAGACGACUGGACGAGUAUGAAGAUAAUGACCUCCGGGGGCCAUCGUGGAGGAGGCAGUUCCCCCCGCGGGACGUCCAUGGGAUUAGUAUGAUGCCCGGUUCGGCAGAGACCCUCCCCGCUGGCUUCCGUGUCACCACCGGCUCACACUCCCGUAGGCUACCCCCCGAAGUGCUCUAUGAGGCGCUGGAUGACAGUCCUGACGACAUGUAUUUGGACUGGUUUCAAGUGGACAAUGGGAGCUGAUCCUGUGUCAGUUGUUAUGGGCAUAAAUUGGCCCCUUAGCAGUGCAGCGUCUGGACAGCUCUACAGUGAGGACAUACUCCUGCUGAGGGAGGAGAAGAGAGACUGUAAGCUGUCCAGAUACUGUAUGUAGAGAAGGUCUUACUGUACCUUGGAGCUGCUGGACGGGUCCUCCUGCCUGGAACAAACAUUCUGACGAGACGCACUGCCAAGAAGCACCCCCUACCCACCCACCCACCAAAAAGAGAGGGGGAGGGGGGGGCAGCGAGGGGUGCCUCCUGCCAAGCCGCCCCCUCUGCACUUACAAGUCAAGGCCCCCUGAAACCUGGGCAGCAGCUGCCGGUGCUACUUUCCUUCAGUCUGUCCUGUUGUCACCGUUUCUACCUUUUACAUGUACAAUAACUUGUUGAAGCAUAAUGUACUGUGUAUUUCUUCUACCAGGAGAUGUGUAGGUUAUCUGUAAAUUAAUAUAAAUAUGAGUUUUUUUAAAUAUAUAUAUAUAAAUAUAUACACAUCUAUAUUACAAAAAAGAAAAGAUAUUCAGAGUUUGUGCAAAUAAACCCCCCUUCCCAUUUCAAGUCCAUGUCCUUGGUUAAAAUAUGCUGCUCUUUGAACAUUUCUCCAUCAUUCCCUGAGAGACCAUUUUGUACAUAGUUAUUUUCCAUUGUGCAGGGAAACGUGUGUUUUCACCUUGGAGAGACUGUCCAUCUGGUCGCCACGUGACCUCCCCCCCCAGCUGGUAAAGCCUGCCCUCUAGUGGCGUGUACAGCCCCAUGUAUCCGUGUCACCAUCCACCAGCCACAGCCCCCCACCUCACAAUCAUGACGAAGCCCAUCUCAUAGCAAAGCAUUCUGGGAGGAGGACACAGAAACGCACUGUGACGUCUACUGAUGAUGUGACAAGCACUUUGAUACAACCACAGAAACUGUGGACUACAGCCACAGACUAAAAGAUAGACUCUACUCUGAAGCUACUCAGCUCAGAGAUCAACUAACAGCAGGAACACUCUUCAUCAGAUGAUCUCACUCACCUAUAGUACCUUGACCAUAAAGCCAUACAUGAAUAAACUCAAGCUGGACUUUUUUUAAUUUUGCCAUGGGGUCCGACUCAGCAUCGCUGAGAAAUAACUGAAAGACAGACUGCUUAACUCAUUGUGCGUAGAGUGUAUAUGAACAUGUCGAAGUGAGGUGAAUUUUAAUGACAAACCUGUUGCUUGCUGUGACAUUGGUGUAACUGUUAACUCUUUGUUUUUGUCUGAGUUGCCAGGGAAACCUAUUGUACAGCCCUCCUACCUGUCUUUGAGUUAUUUCUGCUGGAGUACUCGAUCAGGUUUGAAUUUUUUGUUGACUUUUACAUCCUCGAUUUGCACAAACAAAGAAUCAUUUUAUUUUGUGUCCAUUUUUUAUUCAUUGCUAAUUGUAUUUUGGUCAAAUCUACGUGGUGAUCAAUCAAAUUUUCAUUGCCAAUAAAAAAAAAUACUGUCAGUGAAGUAGCUGUUGAAAUGACUAU
This is an RNA transcript of Oncorhynchus tshawytscha (Chinook salmon), 5548 nucleotides long. It is a transcript of the gene named liprin-alpha-2-like, with no coding region annotated. The record is from RefSeq and is a predicted model, not a curated record. NCBI's taxonomy places the organism in Eukaryota, Metazoa, Chordata, Actinopteri, Salmoniformes, Salmonidae. The transcript has 34 exons.